This 254-nucleotide ribosomal RNA is filed under the name uncultured bacterium. RNAcentral describes it as "partial 16S ribosomal RNA". It matches the Rfam family "Bacterial small subunit ribosomal RNA", at positions 524 to 776 of the family's 1533-position model. The record is from RNAcentral.
UACGUAGGCAGCGAGGCGUUGUUCGGAGUUACUGGGCGUAAAGGGUGUGUAGGCGGUUGUUUAAGUUUGGUGUGAAAUCUCCCGGCUCAACUGGGAGGGUGCGCCGAAUACUGAAUGACUAGAGUGUGGGAGAGGUGAGUGGAAUUCCUGGUGUAGCGGUGAAAUGCGUAGAUAUCAGGAGGAACACCGGUGGUGUAGACGGCUCACUGGACCAUAACUGACGCUGAGACACGAAAGCGUGGGGAGCAAACAGG